This 721-nucleotide ribosomal RNA is filed under the name Limosilactobacillus fermentum. RNAcentral describes it as "bacterial SSU rRNA". It matches the Rfam family "Bacterial small subunit ribosomal RNA", at positions 733 to 1454 of the family's 1533-position model. The record is from RNAcentral. Lineage: Bacteria; Bacillati; Bacillota; Bacilli; Lactobacillales; Lactobacillaceae.
UCUGCAACUGACGCUGAGACUCGAAAGCAUGGGUAGCGAACAGGAUUAGAUACCCUGGUAGUCCAUGCCGUAAACGAUGAGUGCUAGGUGUUGGAGGGUUUCCGCCUUUCAGUGCCGGAGCUAACGCAUUAAGCACUCCGCCUGGGGAGUACGACCGCAAGGUUGAAACUCAAAGGAAUUGACGGGGGCCCGCACAAGCGGUGGAGCAUGUGGUUUAAUUCGAAGCUACGCGAAGAACCUUACCAGGUCUUGACAUCUUGCGCCAACCCUAGAGAUAGGGCGUUUCCUUCGGGAACGCAAUGACAGGUGGUGCAUGGUCGUCGUCAGCUCGUGUCGUGAGAUGUUGGGUUAAGUCCCGCAACGAGCGCAACCCUUGUUACUAGUUGCCAGCAUUAAGUUGGGCACUCUAGUGAGACUGCCGGUGACAAACCGGAGGAAGGUGGGGACGACGUCAGAUCAUCAUGCCCCUUAUGACCUGGGCUACACACGUGCUACAAUGGACGGUACAACGAGUCGCGAACUCGCGAGGGCAAGCAAAUCUCUUAAAACCGUUCUCAGUUCGGACUGCAGGCUGCAACUCGCCUGCACGAAGUCGGAAUCGCUAGUAAUCGCGGAUCAGCAUGCCGCGGUGAAUACGUUCCCGGGCCUUGUACACACCGCCCGUCACACCAUGAGAGUUUGUAACACCCAAAGUCGGUGGGGUAACCUUUAGGAGCCAGCC